UACAGAGGGGGCAAGCGUUAUUCGGAAUUAUUGGGCGUAAAGGGCGCGUAGGCGGUCGUGCAAGUGGAAGGUGAAAUCCCUCGGCUCAACCGAGGAACUGCCUUUCAAACUGCAUGACUUGAGUCCGGGGAGAGGUGAGUGGAAUUCCCCAGUGUAGCGGUGAAAUGCGUAGAUAUUGGGAGGAACACCAGUGGCGAAGGCGGCUCACUGGACCGGAACUGACGCUGAGGCGCGAAAGCGUGGGGAGCAAACGGG
Molecule: ribosomal RNA, 255 nt
Filed under: uncultured bacterium
Lineage: Bacteria
Description: partial 16S ribosomal RNA
Rfam family: Bacterial small subunit ribosomal RNA
Source: RNAcentral